Molecule: long non-coding RNA, 1739 nt
Filed under: Nicotiana benthamiana
Lineage: Eukaryota; Viridiplantae; Streptophyta; Magnoliopsida; Solanales; Solanaceae
Description: long non-coding RNA (NBEN_LNC009670)
Source: RNAcentral
UCGUCUCUCAGACCCCAUCCCUCUCAAAAGAUAGAAAACCUUAGUAGCUGCCACCACAUUCCCACCCUUUUAGGGUGGCGGCGCCAGCCGCAACCGCUCCCAAUUAACACCCCAGCAUCCCCACGAUCCCCUCUUCACUAAUCUAUUACUGAUAACCCUCGAAUCAUCUCCCAACCCUUUGAAUCUUGAUUUGAAGAUGGGAUCCCUAAAAUCCUAUGUCGAAAUCAGUAGCCCAUUUGAAGAUUUAGGAUCGUAAUAGGCCAUAAUCGUGUGUUUAUGCAUGAAAACACACUGUUAGGGUCUAUUUCGGUCAAUAAAUUGAAAGGGAUUUCAAGUUGUCUUUGAGCUUACAUCUGUGCAAUUUAGGUAUGGUUCCGAUUUCGUUAUUGUUUUCUUCUUUUCUGGUAUUGCAUAUUCUUUCUUUGUCUUCAACUAAGCUAAGUUGCAUGUGUUAUUCCGUUCCUUCCCUUUCUUUGUUUUUCAAUUCUUGACUAGGUUGGUUAGGAUUUCUCCAUUUUGGCAAGGGGUAAAAAAUCAAAAUCUGAGAGUUGACAUAUUUGUUUGCCUAUAAAGGCACCAUGUCUUGCCUUAGAAGGCAUACUUUAAGAGUUAAAAAAUUCCAGAAAAAAUACAAGGCUGCAGAAAUAAAUUUCACUAUUUUAUUGAAUUCAGUUCCUUGAUUCAGUAAGCGUUUGUGAUUGUUUGAAUUUGGGUUUCAAGCUCGGUUAGAGGUUUUGCUGAUCAGAUUACUAUUCUAUUGGGUUUCUGGGUCAAUCUCAUUGCUAAUUUCUGCUAUGUUAUGCUACUAAUGCUACUGAAUCUCACUUCUCUUUGUUUCCUCUUUUACGGGUAUAUUUUGAUCCUUACGGACAUCACUUGAGGUGUAACUUGAAUCAUGAUUAAAGAAUGAGGAAAUUGUGAUGUUGUUUGUAGAUCUCACCCUCUCUUCUUUCAGUUAUACUAACAUUGUGUACCUCUUGAAGUUUUAAUUAAUGUAUUCUAUCAAAAAUGGUUUAUAAUUAAGCGUUAAAUCAUGUAGAAUGACUUUCCUUCUUAUUUUGACUGUUGGAUGCUGUAAGUAGUGUUAGAUAUUUGAGUAAGUUGAUCUGGUUCACGGAUGCUAAAGACUGGAUAUGCUUUUAGUUCAAUUAGGAUGAUGAUUCAAAUAAAAUGGAACAGAAAGAGUAUUAAUUAGAAUACCUUUGUGUUAGUUUCAGUAGUGAUUUUCAUAUGGGUGUUGAGUUAUAAGUUAGAUGUGCAUUGAGGUUGAUUAUAGUAUUUGUAUGGGAGGCAAAAGACAUAUGCCUUGUUUCGUUGUGCAGGAUCAAAGUUUGCCGUGGAGACUUGGGCUCUAUCAUGAGACAGUUUUGGAUUAGCAUCGAUCUGGAAAUCGACAGGACCACGUCUGUGAGCCAUCAGGCUUCAUGUUGGGCCCAAUUUUGAUUUCACGCUUUUGGCCUUUUUUUUCAUUUAUCAGAAUGCAACUCUUGGUCCAGUCAUAUAAGAAUCCUUGUCCAUUAAUUCUCGAGCAUUUACAGUUUUAAUAAUUCCCUUCGAUUAAUCUCUUUUUUUGUUAGUAUUUGAGGCGAGCCAUAAUUAGUAAUUCAUAGUAUAUGGCUCUCACGAAUUAGCUUAGAAACGUUUAAGCUAAAAUAAGUUGAGAUGUUCCAAGACAAAUAAGAUUCAAAUGCUUGGCCCUCGUUUAAUUACUUUUUCUUAAAAUACUUAGAAUUCGAGGC